GAAGCUGACGGGACAGUCGCCGUUUCUUCGUCUUCCUCUGCGGGGUAGACGGCCGGAGGGGAAGAAAGUCAGGGCCCCAUAGGGGAGGGUGCCAGGUAACGCGUGGGGGGGAACCCCACGACCAGUGCAACAGAGAGAAAUCCGCCGAUGGCCCGCGCAAGCGGGAUCAGGUAAGGGUGAAAGGGUGCGGUAAGAGCGCACCGCGCGGCUGGUAACAGUCCGUGGCACGGUAAACUCCACCCGGAGCAAGGCCAAAUAGGGGUUCAUAAGGUACGGCCCGUACUGAACCCGGGUAGGCUGCUUGAGCCAGUGAGCGAUUGCUGGCCUAGAUGAAUGACUGUCCACGACAGAACCCGGCUUAUCGGUCAGUUUC
This 373-nucleotide RNase P RNA is filed under the name Escherichia coli. RNAcentral's name for it is "partial RNase P RNA component class A". It matches the Rfam family "Bacterial RNase P class A". From Rfam's summary of the family: Ribonuclease P (RNase P) is a ubiquitous endoribonuclease, found in archaea, bacteria and eukarya as well as chloroplasts and mitochondria. Lineage: Bacteria; Pseudomonadati; Pseudomonadota; Gammaproteobacteria; Enterobacterales; Enterobacteriaceae. The record is from RNAcentral.